Molecule: ribosomal RNA, 696 nt
Filed under: Variovorax sp.
Lineage: Bacteria; Pseudomonadati; Pseudomonadota; Betaproteobacteria; Burkholderiales; Comamonadaceae
Description: bacterial SSU rRNA
Rfam family: Bacterial small subunit ribosomal RNA
Source: RNAcentral
AAUCCUGGCGGCGAGUGGCGAACGGGUGAGUAAUACAUCGGAACGUGCCCAAUCGUGGGGGAUAACGCAGCGAAAGCUGUGCUAAUACCGCAUAAGAUCUACGGAUGAAAGCAGGGGAUCGCAAGACCUUGCGCGAAUGGAGCGGCCGAUGGCAGAUUAGGUAGUUGGUGAGGUAAAGGCUCACCAAGCCUUCGAUCUGUAGCUGGUCUGAGAGGACGACCAGCCACACUGGGACUGAGACACGGCCCAGACUCCUACGGGAGGCAGCAGUGGGGAAUUUUGGACAAUGGGCGCAAGCCUGAUCCAGCCAUGCCGCGUGCAGGAUGAAGGCCUUCGGGUUGUAAACUGCUUUUGUACGGAACGAAACGGCCUUUUCUAAUACAGAGGGCUAAUGACGGUACCGUAAGAAUAAGCACCGGCUAACUACGUGCCAGCAGCCGCGGUAAUACGUAGGGUGCAAGCGUUAAUCGGAAUUACUGGGCGUAAAGCGUGCGCAGGCGGUUAUGUAAGACAGUUGUGAAAUCCCCGGGCUCAACCUGGGAACUGCAUCUGUGACUGCAUAGCUAGAGUACGGUAGAGGGGGAUGGAAUUCCGCGUGUAGCAGUGAAAUGCGUAGAUAUGCGGAGGAACACCGAUGGCGAAGGCAAUCCCCUGGACCUGUACUGACGCUCAUGCACGAAAGCGUGGGGAGCAAAC